Meriones unguiculatus (Mongolian gerbil) is the source of this 93-nucleotide small nucleolar RNA. Its record names the gene SNORD21. It matches the Rfam family "Small nucleolar RNA SNORD21". From Rfam's summary of the family: U21 is a member of the C/D class of snoRNA which contain the C (UGAUGA) and D (CUGA) box motifs. U21 is encoded within an intron of the gene for ribosomal protein L5 in mammals, but within introns of the ADP ribosylation factor gene in Drosophila. U21 snoRNA has a 13 nt region of complementarity with an invariant region of eukaryotic 28S ribosomal RNA. Lineage: Eukaryota; Metazoa; Chordata; Mammalia; Rodentia; Muridae. The record is from Ensembl.
GCUAGUGAUGACACCCGCUAACUGAGCAGUUGGUAGUUGGUCCUUCGAUUGCAUAUGAUGCAAUAAUUGUUUCAAGACGGGACUGACGGCAGC